AUACGAAGGGUGCGAGCGUUGUUCGGAUUUAUUGGGCGUAAAGCGGGUGCAGGCGGAUAAGUAAGUCAGAUGUGAAAUCUCGGGGCUCAACCCCGAAACUGCGUCUGAAACUACUUGUCUAGAAUCUCGUAGAGGGAGGCGGAAUUUCACAUGUAGGAGUAAAAUCCGUAGAGAUGUGAAGGAACACCAGAGGCGAAGGCGGCCUCCUGGGCGAGAAUUGACGCUGUAGCCGAAAGCGUGGGGAGCAAACAGGAUUAGAUACCCUGGUAGUCCACGCCGUAAACACUGUGCACUAGAUUUGGGGGGAGUUGACCCCUUCUGAAUCGGAGCUAACGCAUUAAGUGCACCGCCUGGGGAGUACGGUCGCAAGACUAAA
RNAcentral lists this ribosomal RNA (376 nucleotides) under uncultured Bacteriovoracaceae bacterium. Its description in RNAcentral is "bacterial SSU rRNA". It matches the Rfam family "Bacterial small subunit ribosomal RNA", at positions 523 to 898 of the family's 1533-position model. Lineage: Bacteria; Pseudomonadati; Bdellovibrionota; Bacteriovoracia; Bacteriovoracales; Bacteriovoracaceae. The record is from RNAcentral.